Molecule: ribosomal RNA, 1242 nt
Filed under: metagenome
Description: bacterial LSU rRNA
Rfam family: Bacterial large subunit ribosomal RNA
Source: RNAcentral
UGAAUACGAGAUGCUACGGCGUCGAAGCAGUCUAUGUCAUACUUCCAAGAAAAGCUUGCACUGUCAUAAACAAAUAAUGCCUGUACCAUAACCGACACAGGUGGGUAGGUAGAGUAUACUAAGGGGCGCGAGAUAACUCUCUCUAAGGAACUCGGCAAAAUGACUCCGUAACUUCGGGAGAAGGAGUGCCUUAUUUAUAAGGUUGCAAUAACAAGAUCCAAGCAACUGUUUACCAAAAACACAGGUCUCCGCUAAGUCGUAAGACGAUGUAUGGGGGCUGACGCCUGCCCAGUGCCAGAAGGUUAAAGAAGUUGGUUAGCAUCCGCGAAGCUGAUAACUGAAGCCCUGGUGAACGGCGGCCGUAACAAUAACGGUCCUAAGGUAGCGAAAUUCCUUGUCGGGUAAGUUCCGACCCGCACGAAAGGCGUAAUGAUUUGGAUACUGUCUCGGAGAGGGGCUCGGUGAAAUAGACUUGUCUGUGAAGAUGCGGACUACCUGCACCAGGACAGAAAGACCCUAUGAAGCUUUACUGUAACCUGAAAUUGAAAUUGGACUUUACUUGCGCAGUAUAGGUGGGAGGCGUUGAGAAUAUUCUUGCGGGAUUAUUGGAGCCAUCAGUGAGAUACCACUCUUGUAAUGUUAGAUUUCUAACUUUGUAUCAUUAUCUGGUCAAAGAACAGUUUCAGGCGGGCAGUUUGACUGGGGCGGUCGCCUCCUAAACGGUAACGGAGGCGCACAAAGGUUUCCUCUGAACGGGUAGAAAUCGUAUCUAGAGUGUAAAGGCAUAAGGAAGCUUGACUGUGAGACCUACAAGUCGAGCAGGGACGAAAGUCGGUCUUAGUGAUCUGACGGUGCUGAGUGGAAAGGCCGUCACUCAACGGAUAAAAGUUACUCUAGGAUAACAGGCUGAUCUCCCCCAAGAGUUCACAUCGACGGGGAGGUUUGGCACCUCGAUGUCGGCUCAUCGCAUCCUGGGGCGGUAGUACGUCCCAAGGGUUGGGCUGUUCGCCCAUGAAAGCGGUACGCGAGCUGGGUUCAGAACGUCGUGAGACAGUUCGGUCCAUAUCCGGUGUAGGCGUUAGAAUAUUGAGAGGAGCCUUCUUUAGUACGAGAGGACCGAGAAGGACUUACCUCUGGUGUACCAGUUAUCGUGCCAACGGUAAACGCUGGGUAGCUAUGUGUGGAGUGGAUAACCGCUGAAAGCAUCUAAGUGGGAAGCCCACCUCAAGAUAAGUAUUCUCA